RNAcentral lists this unclassified non-coding RNA (304 nucleotides) under plant metagenome. Its description in RNAcentral is "partial contains 5.8S ribosomal RNA, internal transcribed spacer 2, and large subunit ribosomal RNA". The stretch from base 1 to 105 matches the Rfam family "5.8S ribosomal RNA", at positions 50 to 154 of the family's 154-position model. The record is from RNAcentral.
GAAAUGCGAUAAGUAGUGUGAAUUGCAGAAUUCAGUGAAUCAUCGAAUCUUUGAACGCACAUUGCGCCCCUUGGUAUUCCAUGGGGCAUGCCUGUUCGAGCGUCAUUUGUACCUUCAAGCUUUGCUUGGUGUUGGGUGUUUGUCUCGCCUCUGCGUGUAGACUCGCAUCAAAACAAUUGGCAGCCGGCGUAUUGAUUUCGGAGCGCAGUACAUCUCGCGCUUUGCACUCAUAACGACGACGUCCAAAAGUACAUUUUUACACUCUUGACCUCGGAUCAGGUAGGGAUACCCGCUGAACUUAAGC